This 253-nucleotide ribosomal RNA is filed under the name uncultured bacterium. RNAcentral's name for it is "partial 16S ribosomal RNA". It matches the Rfam family "Bacterial small subunit ribosomal RNA", at positions 524 to 776 of the family's 1533-position model. The record is from RNAcentral.
UACGGAGGGUGCGAGCGUUGUUCGGAAUCACUGGGCGUAAAGGGCGUGUAGGCGGUCCGCUAAGUCUGAUGUGAAAGCCCGGGGCUCACCCCCGGAAGUGCAUUGGAAACUGGCGGACUCGAGUCCCGGAGAGGAGAGUGGAAUUCCUGGUGUAGCGGUGAAAUGCGUAGAUAUCAGGAGGAACACCGGUGGCGAAGGCGGCUCUCUGGACGGUGACUGACGCUGAGACGCGAAAGUGUGGGGAGCGAACAGG